RNAcentral lists this long non-coding RNA (406 nucleotides) under Homo sapiens (human). RNAcentral's name for it is "LHRI_LNC699.1". The record is from RNAcentral. Lineage: Eukaryota; Metazoa; Chordata; Mammalia; Primates; Hominidae.
AGCAUGUAUAAGUUUACUACAAUUCAGACCAAAAAAGAGUAUCUUAAUUUAGCUAUUUGUAAGGGUACCUCUGUAGCUUGUCUUCCUAAGGUUUUGUUUUUUGUUCUCGUAGCCCAUAGGGGUUUAAGUCUGACCAGCUUACCCUGGCAUUUCUUUAUUUUUCUCAGUGGAAUUGUCUACAGUUGAGCCAGGAGACAUUCCUCUUUGGGACAUCCUAGUAGAAUGGCAUAGUCUGUCUUCUGAGUUGAUAGAAGAGGAUGGAAGACUCCUUUAGUACUCUGAGAAAGACUGAUUUCUUUUUUCAGGACCAGGUUUGCCAUUUGGCCUAUAUACACCCAUAUUGCUUCCCACUCUUUUCUUCCAGUACCGAGGUCAAGCCACUGAUUGUAUUCUUAGAAUUAAAAAG